GAAAUGCGAUAAGUAAUGUGAAUUGCAGAAUUCAGUGAAUCAUCGAAUCUUUGAACGCACAUUGCGCCCGCCAGUAUUCUGGCGGGCAUGCCAGUUCGAGCGUCAUUUCAACCAUCAAGCCCCCGGGCUUGUGUUGGGGACCCUGCGGCUGCCCGCAGGCCCUGAAAUGCAGUGGCGGGCUCGCUGUCCACCCCGAGCCUAGCAGCAUUACAUCUCGCUCGGGGCGUGCGGCGAGCUCCGGCCGUUAAUCGCGACCUUAACGCAGACCAAGGAUGACCUCGGAUCAGGUAGGAAGACCCGCUGAACUUAA
Molecule: unclassified non-coding RNA, 310 nt
Filed under: uncultured Chaetomium
Lineage: Eukaryota; Fungi; Ascomycota; Sordariomycetes; Sordariales; Chaetomiaceae
Description: sequence contains ITS1
Rfam family: 5.8S ribosomal RNA (bases 1-105)
Source: RNAcentral